RNAcentral lists this transfer RNA (72 nucleotides) under Dendrobates sp. QCAZ16558. RNAcentral describes it as "tRNA-Val". Lineage: Eukaryota; Metazoa; Chordata; Amphibia; Anura; Dendrobatidae. RNAcentral also lists the same sequence under 1 other name. The record is from RNAcentral.
CAAAAUGUAGCUUAAUUUCUAAAGCCCUUCGCUUACACCGAAACUAUCUCUGUGGAACCCAGAUCAUUUUGA